UAGCCUACGGGACGCAGCAGUGAGGAAUAUUGGUCAAUGGGCUUACGCCUGAACCAGCCAAGUCGCGUGAGGGAAGACUGCCCUAUGGGUUGUAAACCUCUUUUGUCAGGGAGCAACGCCGGCUACGUGUAGCCGGACUGAGAGUACCUGAAGAAAAAGCAUCGGCUAACUCCGUGCCAGCAGCCGCGGUAAUACGGAGGAUGCGAGCGUUAUCCGGAUUUAUUGGGUUUAAAGGGUGCGUAGGCGGGACGGUAAGUCAGCGGUAAAAAUGCGGAGCUCAACUCCGUCGAGGCGUUGAAACUGUC
RNAcentral lists this ribosomal RNA (305 nucleotides) under uncultured bacterium. RNAcentral describes it as "bacterial SSU rRNA". It matches the Rfam family "Bacterial small subunit ribosomal RNA", at positions 334 to 637 of the family's 1533-position model. The record is from RNAcentral.